This is a long non-coding RNA of Aricia agestis (brown argus), 453 nucleotides long. RefSeq lists it as uncharacterized. NCBI's taxonomy places the organism in Eukaryota, Metazoa, Arthropoda, Insecta, Lepidoptera, Lycaenidae. The record is from RefSeq and is a predicted model, not a curated record. The transcript is spliced from 2 exons.
AUGGAAGUGAAAUAUGUACAUAUGAAUGAUGAUGGUUGAUGAGUAAAGCGGUACCGCCAAACCCAUCGGAUCUGUCCUCUCUUAUACAGGUAUAGCCAGGAAUCUUAAAAAGAGAAUCUGGCUUGAGCCAUGUUUCUUGAAGAGCAAAGACAAUUGGGCAAUUCUUACUAGUAGCUAUAUGGGAAGCUUGGCAUAAACAACAAAACACAGAAUCCUCAUCUACUGAACAUUUGUCACCCGAGUGACUCUGACCACAACGAAAACAUCUGGGAGUCGAUCUGCACUGUGACUUAACAUGCCCAUACCUACAGCAAUUGUAACACUGUAUGGUAGGGUAAAUGUAUAAGUCAACAGGCAAAGAGUUAUAGCAUAUAAAAAUUCUUUUAGGUAAUGUUUGGCCAUCAAAUGUAAAAACUACUGACUCAGUAUUAACAAACUGUGCAGUAUUAUUUA